UACGGGGGGGGCAAGCGUUGUUCGGAAUUACUGGGCGUAAAGGGCGCGUAGGCGGCCUGCUAAGUCGGACGGGAAAUCCCUCGGCUCAACCGGGGAACUGCGUCCGAUACUGGUGGGCUCGAAUCCGGGAGAGGGAUGUGGAAUUCCAGGUGUAGCGGUGAAAUGCGUAGAUAUCUGGAGGAACACCGGUGGCGAAGGCGGCAUCCUGGACCGGUAUUGACGCUGAUGCGCGAAAGCCAGGGGAGCAAACGGG
Molecule: ribosomal RNA, 253 nt
Filed under: uncultured bacterium
Lineage: Bacteria
Description: partial 16S ribosomal RNA
Rfam family: Bacterial small subunit ribosomal RNA
Source: RNAcentral